Non-coding RNA from Candidatus Buchananbacteria bacterium, 87 nucleotides. The record is from Rfam. NCBI's taxonomy places the organism in Bacteria, Candidatus Buchananiibacteriota.
GGAGGGGUGCCGGAGUGGUCUAACGGAACAGUCUUGAAAACUGUCGUGGCAGUAAUGUCACCGUGAGUUCGAAUCUCACCCCCUCCG